Molecule: RNA transcript, 8803 nt
Organism: Dermacentor albipictus
Lineage: Eukaryota; Metazoa; Arthropoda; Arachnida; Ixodida; Ixodidae
Source: RefSeq, a predicted model, not a curated record
GGUGAAACGAGGUCCAGGAAGAAGCCACAGGCCAGGCCCAGCCACGCGCGCGUGCUCUCUCCUUCUUUCUCUACCCCAGUCGUGCAGAACUGCGACAUUUUCCCAGGGGGCAGAAGAAGCGCGCUGAGUGAGUUAAAGGGACCUGUGAAGAUAACGCCAGCUGUCCUGUGACGUCGCUACCGUGCUUGCUUCAACCUUGGUGGGCGUAGCCCUGCAAGCGUCUUUGCUGCAAGCCCUCUUUGUCCGGAUCACGCCACAGUCUUCUUCAAGCGCCACCAUCGACAGAGCAAGCUAUAAAGUGGUGGAAGUCGAGGCCUGCUUUCACAUUCGCGGCAGCGGCAGCAUCGAAGAAGCAUCGUCAAAGUAACAACCCGCCUUUUCGCAGGUGCUGGGCAAGAAGCCAACCGGUCAUGCUGCUUGCAAGCAGAGUCGUCUUUCUCGUCAGCGAGAUCCCGCAGCCGAUUGAAGCAAUGGUCAGUUGGCAGUGGCACAACGGUCGAUUUCGAACCCCGUUCCCUCAGCACAGAUCGUGUGGCACAUACCCAGCACUCCAAGUCAGCGUCAAGGAGUUUCAUCGAAAAGCUCGACCUACCCAGUGCCGCAUCUUACAGUGACCCAUAUCGGCGUCAAGUUCCCUUCCGGUACUUGGUUUCGAAUCCUGUUGCCUCAACACAGCAGUCUCAUGCGCGCUACCCAUUCGACCGCUGACUACCCAGGGACCCAGCGCUGUCGUCCGGCUCCCCAUCGUCCGCGCGUCCCGGUUACGGAGUGGACGGCUUGCAUCACGAGAGAUUGGGAGCCCCGGAACAAGACACAGCACGUGGUCACGGAGUACGCAGGACGGGACGUUCCAGGUAGGGGACGCUGUACGGCUCCGUCGACAAGCAGGAGCAGUAGCGAGCAACGGUGCCUGACAACGAAGCAGCGGGCUUCGAAAGAACAGUGGCCAGUCAUGACCCUAUGACCAGCACCAAGCAGCGGCAGCAGGCAGGCGUCAAUGGCGGUGCCGAAACGGACAACGACGUGGACUUCACUGCGACUAAGAUCGGGCGGUCGCUAGGCGGAGCGGGGACAAGACAGGACGUACGGGUCGUCAUUGAUUCUGACCAGAUGACGCCUACUGGCACGGCCGUCUCCAAGCGGAAUGCUCUGGCGUCGUGCGACCAGCAGCCACGGGCUACCGAGGUGAAAGCGCGCGACCCGGUGGGUAUCCCAGCUGUGGAUAUCCCACCAAGGGCAUGACGACCAGGAGCCGCGGCAGCUUGGAAAGCGUGCUCGAUGGCCGGUCCUUGGUGAAUGUCCCAGAAACGGACGGCGUCUGCACCACGUUAUGAAACUUGCAUUGCUGCUACCAAUCAAUUUUGAUUUGGAGCAAUCUUCGGAGAAGCGAGAUUUAUACUUUGGAGCAGCGACAUUUGUAACAGAAACCUUCUGAAAACUUUCCCUUUAUAUUUUAUUUUGCAAUAACCCCAUUAUCAGAGAGACAAGUCUAUCAAGGCAUGAAGAGCGUGCAUUUCAGUUGGUUGGUCUUUUCGCAGCAAGCAAUGUAGAAAUGUUUGGUGCAACCGUUUUGCGGUGAGUUCAGUUAACACGUUUACAAGCAUUGCUUUCCCGUUUCGUUCACAAUGCAGCAGAAGUGCUGGUAGUUUGCGGGGACGCCGAUCAGGAAUGUCAGUCUUGCUGCAACAGAACGUUGGCGCCAUAUUUCAAAGGCGGGCUUCAGCGUUGCGACCUAGCCGUCUAAACAUAAUUUAGGAUUAUAGACUAUGCUUCUGGUUUAGUUUUAACGCGACAGCGUCAAGAGCUCCGUGUCGCAGAAACUGGCGUUCCGCGGCCAGCGUAGACCAUCUUUUCGCAAGAAAAACAUACCGACUCACGCAUAUUCCAUAUGGCACUAAAGUUGUUCUAUCACUAAAGUUGCUGAUACGUAAGACAAGUCUUACGUGCUUUGCAAGCUUAUUUCACGGUAGUUUGUGAAUGGCGCCUAGAAACAAAUGUCAUGAAACAAAUCACCGACAGCACGUGCCUUUUAUGUUAAAUUUUCCGAGACUAAAAUAUCAACCAUGUGAAACAAUAAGAGAAGAGCAGCCCAUGCAAGUGACCGUGUUUCUACCAGAGAACUCACCUUCGUGCAUAGAUUAUGUCGCCAGCGUUUGCCCGUAAAUAUUACGGUUACAUAAGCUGCAGCGGUUUACAUAAGCCGGAAGCGUGAGAAGCAGUCGGGGAUCGUUGAAUGCUAUCGGAUUACACAUUUAAAGGCACAGCUUCAUAUUUUUCCUGUAUAAUUCUUGCAAACAAAUUCCGGUUUUCACGUACCUAGUUUUACGACCCACCCGCUACAACAGACAAAAUUCGGGACAAAGUUUUGUGCACAUGGUUACAUAUACAAGAAGCUGUGCUGCGGCGACCUGUGGGUCGGCAAUGAAUUGCACGCAAGUUUUCGCAUUCAACGCAGCAAAAGAAGUGAGCAGUCUUAUACGACAUUUUAGAAUCACGACCAAAUUUCCGACUCCGUUUUUUCGAGCAAAAACAAUAAGGUAAGCUGCCUGUUGUAUCACGCACUUUUAAAAGGUACCCGCCUAUGUGGGGAUAGUUUAUAACCUGGCCCACAUCGUCGUCGUCUACUACUACUAUAAAUGUUAGAAUAUUAGUUAUCACCUACUGAACCACUUAUUUAAAAAAAUUAACGACUUCAUUCAUGUUAAUGUAGGGCAACUUGUCAAGCAUUCAUUCAUUAAUGUGCGCCCAUUAAGCGCAUUGCUCUUUAAAGUUUUAUAUGACAGCAACACACGUUUCCAUGCAGCUUACAAAACCUUCAUUUUAUUCACUACCUUUAAAUUACUGAUAUUAUAUAACUCAUUUGUAGCCGCUGUGAUUGACAGAGAUGUUUUCCGAUCUUUUUUGAUAAGACUGUUUUCCGCUAAUGUUAAGCUGAUGCAUGACCCAUGUACCGUAGUGGGUUGAAUCGGAUCGUGGACGCUACCGAAGCCAAAAUUACGAAAUGGGCGAACCACUACUUUUUUUCCGGUUUUGAUGUGUCGUACGGUAAUGUAUCCGACAAAGAAAACCGGCGAAACACUGGCGGUAACGUACCUUGAUCAACACCGAAGUGCGCGCAUCACCAACAUCAUCAUCAUCAUCAAGUAUCAUCAUCACCAUCAUCAGGUACAAUAAUCUGGUAGCACAAUCAUCAUCAUCAGGUAUAAUCAUCAUCAUCACCUUCAGGUAUCAUCAUCACCAUCAUCAGGUAUCCACAUCAUCGGGCAUCAUCAUCAUCAUCAGGAAUCAUCAUCAUCGGGUAUCAACAUCAUCAUCAAGGAUCAUCAUCAUCAUCAGGAAUCAUAAUCAUCGGGUAUCAUCAUUAUCAUCGGGUAUCAUCACCGGGUAUCAUCAUCAUCAUCAUCAUCAUCGGGUAUCAUCAUCAUCGGAUAUCAUCAUCAUCGGUAUCAUCAUCAUCAUCGGUAUCAUCAUCAUCAUCGGUAUCAUCAUCAUUAUUGGCAUCAUUAUCAUCAUUAUUGGCAUCAUUAUCAUCAUCAAUGGCAUCAUUAUCAUCAUCAUCGGAUAGCAUUAUCAUCAUCAUCGGGUAGCAUAAUCAUCAUCAUCGGGUAGCAUAAUCAUCAUCAUCGGGUAGCAUAAUCAUCAUCAUCGGGUAGCAUAAUCAUCAUCAUCGGGUAUCAUUAUCAUCAUCAUCGGGUAUCAUUAUCAUCAUCAUCGGGUAUCAUUAUCACCAUCAUCGGGUAUCAUUAUCAUCAUCAUCGGGUAGCAUUAUCAUCAUCAUCGGGUAUCAUUAUCAUCAUCAUCGGGUAUCACUAUCAUCAUCAUCGGGUAUCAUUAUCAUCAUCAUUGUGUAUCAUCAUCAUCAUCAUCAUUGGGUAUCAUCAUCAUCAUCAUUGGGUAUCAUCAUCAUCAUUGGGUAUCAUCUCAUCAUUGGGUAUCAUCAUCAUCAUCGGGUAUCAUGAUUAUGUGAUGUGAUGAUCAUCAUCAAUCUACUGCAGGGCAAAGGCCUCUCCCAUACUUCAACUAUACCGGCCAUGUGCCAUAAAUUUUGUGUUGCUUCUCAAAUAGCGUCAACAAACAUGUGCUAGCUGCGCGGGUUAGGAUUGUGGCCAUGUUGUCCCUGCAAACUUCUUAAUUUCAGGCGUCCACCUAACUUUCUGUCACCCCCUGCUACGCUUCCCUUCUCUUGGAAUCCAGUCCGUAAUCCUUAAUGAGCAUCCGUUAUCGUUACAUGCCCUGCCCAUGCCCAUUUUUUUUCUUGAUUUCAACUAAGAUGUCAUUAGGGAGUUUUAGAAUAGGGGCCCCAAACGUUUUGGGGCCCCAAAGAAAUAGCGUCGAAGCCACUGCGCAUGCGCAAGACGCAAACUGCGUUUGGGUUUUGCGUUGGGAACGCUAUUUCACCGAUUUAGCGGGAGCCCAAAUAGCGGCCCCAAAAGUUUUGCGUCGGCAAACAUGGCGGCACCCAUCGAAGCGACGGCUCUCACCUAGCACAAAACUGGGUUCGAUUCGUAGUAACGCGUGAAGUUCGCAAGCUAGGAGAAGUGACUGCGGUUAUCGCUCUCUCUCAACUAGCGUGUGUUAUGAAGAUUGACUCAUUAGACGCCGCUGAUUCCUGAUUUGAUUGUGGAUCUUAUGGCUCGUAGGCCUAACACGGCUAAGCUUGGCUGGUGAAGGCUAGUAAAGUUGGUUUGCUCAAAACUAAGCGCAACUAACUGUUUGCUGCUUACAGAAUAACCUCUAAAUUGUAAUCAAACGCGAAUACACGCAAGUCAAAAUUAUUAUUCCUCUCAUAAAAUGGUAUGUUUUAUUUAAUUAUUUCCAAUAGCUUUUCUUUGACGCCGUAGUGGCGCUGUCAGCGCAAGACGCUAUCCGCAAACGUAAAACCAUGGUAAAACCCUAUUCUAAAACUCUUCACUCCUACGUGUCCCAAUGCUGACACCCGCAAAGCUCUUUGGGGCCCCAAACUAUUGGGGCCCCUAUUCUAAAACUCCCUAUUAACUUGCGUUUGUUCCUUCACGCAAUCUGCUCUCUUGUUAUCAUCCCCCCCCCCCCCCCCUUAACGUUACGCCCGUUGCGUCGUCCUCAAUUUAAGUAGAACCCUUUUUGUAAGGGUUCUACUUGCGCUAUGUUGCUUUGUGUCGCAAUGUGUGCGAUUUUUUUUUGUUGCAGCGAUAUGUGGUGCUGGAGUGAUUAGAAAGGAUCAAACGGGUAGCUCGAUUUCUGCCCCGUACUGGCGCCGUAUUCUGUAGCGGUUCUUUUGGGAGCCGGUUCUUUUUGGUUGCUUUGUGUCGCAAUGUGUGCGAUUUUUUUUUGUUGCAGCGACAUGUGGUGCUGGAGUGAUUAGAAAGGAUCAAACGGGUAGCUCGAUUUUCUGCCCCGUACUGGCGCCGUAUUCUGUAGCGGUUCCUUUGGGAGCCCGUUCUUUUUGGCUGUUGCCAUUGGUCGGCCCUUCGAUGUCGUCAUCCCUGGUGGGCGGGACGACAAAUUUUGAUGACGUCACACAGGUUGCCAAUCAUCUGGAAAGGAACCGGUUCCCUGCUAGGAGUGGAACCGCGGAGAAGUGAUUCGUUUGAGAGUCGCGCGCGGGGGCCAGCAUGAUGUCGAGGGUUGCUAGGGCAACCGUGGCUGCCGGCUAAUCUCGCGCCAGCUGACGAGCCGGCACCUAGACGAGACAGAGACGGCAAUGGCGGCUCCUUUGGUUGUGCUGCUGGCGAGUGCCGAAAGACAACGACGCGACGAGAGGCAACGACGAGAGGCAACGACGCGACGCGUUCGGCAUGACUGAACGCGUCGAAGGCAUUUUAGGCUCUCCAAAUACAUAGUGCGACGUGUUUGCGAUGAGCUGGAAGGACAUCUCGGACCUCAAAGAUUGCGUGGUGUCGACACUACGAUGAAAGUGCUGUGCGCGCUGCGGUUUUUUGCCACCGGGAGUUUUCAACAGUGCGUCGGGAAUGAAGAAGCGGCUGUAAUGAUCCGGCUGACCGAAGGCACUGUCGUAGCCUUCGGUCAGAUAUUGACAGAUAUUUUCGAUAUGUGUUUGCGCGAGUGCACGUUGUAAAAAACUUCGUUUCGUUAUUUUUCAUCAACUGCCGGUAAUAAUUGCGUUCCUAUUAGAGAAAGUAGCGUUUGUGUAAUGACGACUUUGAUCUUUGCAUAGAACACGGCCGCACUUUUUCAGUGCUCUCCAAUCACAGUUGAAUAGCCUUUUCGAUGCUACAAUGUAAACACAUUACGCGCGACUUAAACCGGAAUAGACGCCGUAGCAGUGAAGGGAGUCUUCGUCUGUGAGCGAUCCUAACAGAAGACGAGUCCUUGUGAUUCUUAUUCUAAAGCAUUGUGGCCAACAGACUGUAAACGUGAAAAGGAGCAUCCCAUCAAUGAAAAUGGUGUGAGGGAGAACACGGCCGCACUUUUUCAGUGCUCUCCAAUCACAGUUGAAUAGCCUUUUCGAUGCUACAAUGUAAACACAUUACACGCGACUUAAACCGGAAUAGACGCCGUAGCAGUGAAGGGUGGGUGCAGAGAAUGUGUGGGUGUCCACACAUUCUCAAUGUGUGGACACCCAUUUGCUCUAGCUGUUAAUACGGCACAUGCUGUUUCCGCGUUCUUUCGCUUGUAAUAGGCACUUUGUCUGAAAAAAAAACAAAAAAACAACACAGGUGGCACUCUUUAGCAGAAUCUUAUACAAUAUGGACGGAAGAAACCAAAGGAAUUAUUUUGCACAUUGUGUUGUUACCGCACGCCAUACAUGAGCAUGUGAACACAUGCCAACAUUGCAUUUGUAGGUUAAGAUGACAUUGUUAUCAUGCUGAUCAUUAGUUCAACUGCCUACUGCGUAUGUUGAUAUCUCCUUUUCUGUAAUUGUCUUCACUGACUGAUUGGCAAGUAGUGUUGUAAGCAAAAGGUUGUAACAGAUAUUUGUUGCAGGGGCACUGACACCUUCUCUUUGCUUUCCCUUAUGAGGUGUGCGACGCGAAGCUGAAUAUCCUGGAAAUUGACCCACGGUUUCCGGGAUCGUGCCACGAUUCUUUCGUCUGGAGGCAUUCUGCAUUUCGCCGCCGCCUCACUCGUGGCCUGUUACUUCAUAGAGAAGUCUUGCUCUGCACUGCACCUAAAGUACCAGUGCUUCUUCCACAUGUAAAACAUACACAGUCAAAUAGUUUUGCAUCCUAGCAAGCUUUAAGAAAGCGUGAUUUGCUAGAAAUGUGUUGUGAAUGCAGCAGUACCUAAUGAACCUGCAGCGACUAUCGAGAGAAACAAGUCUCUCUUAAAAGGCAGAUAUUUGUACCAGCAUGUAUACAACAGCUGACAUGUUAUGCUGUUUAUUUAUUAAUUUCAAUACACUGAACGCCACGUGGAGCGCUACAGGCAGGGGUGGAAUUCUACAGAACACGUCGAAAUGGCAGUUUUGAAGUAUGGUGGAAAAGGGUUGGUGACAAUGGACUCGGGGACCUGGUCCCUGGUCACUGUCCUUGGUACAAAGGAAUAAGCGUGUGCGUGAAACUUUCGGCAUCGACGUUAGUGAUCGGUGUAGUAUAUAUUGUAGAAUGGUGCAAGUUGCGCUAUGUUGCUUUGUGCCGCAAUGUGUGCGAUUUUUUUUUUGUUGCAGCGACAUGUGGUGCUGGAGUGAUUAGAAAGGAUCAAACGGGUAGCUCGAUUUGGGGUGCCUUCAUGAGAAGAGGUACGAAAGGUAGAGCAAGCAUCCCAGAUACUGGCAGCAUAUUCGAGAGUAGACCUUAGAAGUGUUUUAUAAAAUAACACUUCUGAAGAGAGAAGCGCUAAUAAGUUUUAGAGGAAGAUGUACAUUUAGGGAGGGCCAAAUGGGAUGAACGGAGCAGAAAACCACCAGUAUGAAAUAAAUAUUACAUGUCCAACUUAACCUGAGAAUGAGAUUUGCAGCCAAGACAACAGGUGAAAUUGGGCUUUUCUUUAAAAUGGGUUGAACUUUCUUUACAACUUCCCGGGAAGGUCAGUGUUUGAUAUAUAUUGCAACAAUAAAUCCAAGACCCGCUCCUGUUGUAAAAGGGCCCUGGCGUAGACUGCGUUCUUGCAUUGUGCCUUAAUGUAUCCAUUUCGUUCACUGACAUGCAACACUUUACAGGGGACUCUGGGUACCCGCUAGAGCCAUGUAUCAUGACUUCUGUGCCUGGUCACCCAAAUCGCCUCACGGCAGAGGGGCGCUAUAAUGAGGCACACGCAUCAAUGCGAAAUGCCGUUGAGCGGUGCAUAGGAGUCGUCAAGAGCCACUUCCGAUGCCUGCAGAGCAGGCGUGCCUCUGCCAGAAGACCCAGAUGACGAUGGUGCACAUGACGACAGCGCACAGGGGCCAGCCCAGGCACAAGUGCCGCUUCAAGUACAGGUGCCACCGCAGGCGCACUCUGUACAGCCUUCACGAGCUUUGUUUCAAAGAGGCCGUGCGGUGCGCGAAUCCAUAGUUGGUGUGUUUCGGCUGCCCAGAAAUUUGCGCAUUGCCUACCUGCAAAGUGUGCGCCGGCGCAUUCGCUGGCAAAUGAGGCGGAGACAUGUGCUGGUGUAACAUGUUUUAUUUUUCUUUUCAUGAAGUAAAUUGGCCGUGCACAUCAACAUAACACAUUGCGUGUGCUCACAUAUGGCUAAUCGUAGUAUGCUGCAUACUGCGGUAGUGAAAAGCACAUGAUUUGUCUAUGUUGAGCAUGACAGAUACACAUGCAGUGACAAAUAACCAUGUGCCAUUAUGUUACUUCUUUGCUUUGUUCACUGUGCUUUUGAAUAUUGUCUCGCCAGGGAAUUUUCUUUAAAUAAAGGUUAUUUCCAAGGUGACUGGCAA